GAUGAAGAACGUAGCGAAAUGCGAUAAGUAAUGUGAAUUGCAGAAUUCAGUGAAUCAUCGAAUCUUUGAACGCACAUUGCGCCCCUUGGUAUUCCGAGGGGCAUGCCUGUUCGAGCGUCAUUAUAACCCCUCAAGCUCAGCUUGGUGUUGGGGCCUGCCGCACGGGCAGCCCUUAAAAUCAGUGGCGGUGCUAUCUGGCUCUAAGCGUAGUAAUUCUUCUCGCUAUAGAGUCCCGGUGGAUGCUUGCCAUUAACCCCCAAUUUUCUAUGGUUGACCUCGGAUCAGGUAGGGAUACCCGCUGAACUUUAGCAUAUCAAUAAGCGGAGGA
This 328-nucleotide unclassified non-coding RNA is filed under the name soil metagenome. RNAcentral describes it as "partial contains 5.8S ribosomal RNA, internal transcribed spacer 2, and large subunit ribosomal RNA". The stretch from base 1 to 120 matches the Rfam family "5.8S ribosomal RNA", at positions 35 to 154 of the family's 154-position model. The record is from RNAcentral.